AAUAACUGAAAUAGUGAUCAUUAGUGCUAUGGUUAGUUAAGUUAGCUAAAGAACGAUUAAUUUCUCAAAAAACUGAAAGGGAUUCACUCUAUUUUUCUUUUCAGUGACUUCCCAAAAAAGCAUCCCAAGUAGGAUUGUCAUUUUUCUAGUAAAUUUAAAAUAGUAUGGCAAAAUGAACCAUCAAUCAUAGUUAAAUAACACAAGAAAAUGUCAUUCUAGGGAACAGUGUGAAAAGUAGCAUGUUCUAAAUUUAUCUAUAUGAGAUCCAAUCACUGUAUACAGCUUAACAAAAAUUUAUCAACUAUGCUUCCUACUGGUAUGAAUAAUUUUCACUGAAUAAUUUAUAAAACUCUACACACGAUUCAUAUCAAAUAAACUUGUAAAUGGCCAGAACAUUAGUGAACAGAUGUGAAUGGUUCAGAUCUUAGUAAAUGUGUUUUCAGUGCAAAAUGCCAUUUCUAUGUUUUAGAACGGUAGGCUUCAAAAAAUGAAGUGUGCAUAUGCCAGUGGAAGGACAAGGUGAACCCUGGAAGUGCAAGAGGCUCGUGACAUGUGUUUCUCAGAAGAUGAAUUAGAAUCACUAUGAUGAGAAGGUGAACCAGAAACUCUAGGACCGGAUGAACUCGACAAAGUGAAUGGGAUAGCUGCCUACUUCUAAAGACUUGGUUAAGUCAAGAUCAUGCAAAAUCAAGAGAUAUCCAGAGGACGUUGAGAUCAACAUUUUGGAACAAUCUGGUGUUAAUCUCAUUCUCAUGAGAAAACGUGUGUGAAAGAAUUUCUUAUGUGGACACCCAU
This is a long non-coding RNA of Lagenorhynchus albirostris (white-beaked dolphin), 795 nucleotides long. RefSeq lists it as uncharacterized. The transcript is spliced from 3 exons. The record is from RefSeq and is a predicted model, not a curated record. NCBI's taxonomy places the organism in Eukaryota, Metazoa, Chordata, Mammalia, Artiodactyla, Delphinidae.